UCUACUCUGUCGUUGGGGAGUAACGUAGGGAAACGUUAACGCUAAUACCGCAUACGACCUACGGGUGAAAGCAGGGGAGUCUUCGGACCUUGCGCGAUUGAAUGAGCCGAUGUCUGAUUAGCUAGUUGGCGGGGUAAAGGCCCACCAAGGCGACGAUCCGUAGCUGGUCUGAGAGGAUGAUCAGCCACACUGGAACUGAGACACGGUCCAGACUCCUACGGGAGGCAGCAGCU
Molecule: ribosomal RNA, 233 nt
Filed under: uncultured Stenotrophomonas sp.
Lineage: Bacteria; Pseudomonadati; Pseudomonadota; Gammaproteobacteria; Lysobacterales; Lysobacteraceae
Description: partial 16S ribosomal RNA
Rfam family: Bacterial small subunit ribosomal RNA
Source: RNAcentral